UCAUAUGCUUGUCUCAAAGAUUAAGCCAUGCAUGUGUCAGUACAGGCCGUUCUAAGGCUAAACCGCGAAUGGCUCAUUAAAUCAGUUAUGGUUCAUUUGAUCUCAAUCCCCCAUUACUUGGAUAACCCUGGUAAUUCUAGAGCUAAUACGUGAAACAAAAACUCCGACUGGAAGGGAGGAGUGCUUUUAUUAGAUGAAAACCAAUCGGGCCUCGGUCCGCCAUACGCAAAUUGUGAUGAUUCUGAAUAACUUUGUGCUGAGAGCACGGUCUCCGCACCGGCUCUGUAUCUUUCGAGUUUCUGCCUUAUCAUGCUGUGGAUUGUAGGCUAUGCGCCUACUGUGGCUGUUACGGGUGACGGAGAAUCAGGGUUCGAUUCCGGAGAGGGAGCCUGAGAAACGGCUACCACAUCCAAGGAAGGCAGCAGGCACGCAAAUUACCCAAUCUCAGAUCUGGGAGGUAGUGACGAAAAAUAACAAUGCGGGACUCUUCCGAGUCUGCGUAAUUGGAAUGAGCACACUUUAAAUCCUUUAGCAACAACCAAUUGGAGGGCAAGUCUGGUGCCAGCAGCCGCGGUAAUUCCAGCUCCAAUAGCGUAUAUUAAAGUUGUUGCGGUUAAAAAGCUCGUAGUUCGAGCUCAGUCCGGACUGGCUGGGGAUGUACCGCCCGGUGCUUCCCCGUCAGGCUCCGAACAGCUUUUAUGACUAAAAGCCAAGUCGGUUUCGCCGGGGUGCUCUUCACCGAGUGUCCCGCGCGGCCGGCCAGUUUACCUUGAAUAAAUGAGAGUGCUCAAAGCAGGCUACUCUUAAAAAUAAAGCCCGAAUGUUACCUGCAUGGAAUGAUGGAAGAUGAUCUCGGUUCCAUUUUAUUGGUUCUGGGAAUCCGAGUUAAUGAUAAACAGGGACUGUCGGGGGCAUCCGUACUACGACGCGAGAGGUGAAAUUCUAUGACCGUCGUAGGACGAACAACAGCGAAAGCAUUUGCCAAGAAUGUCUUCGUUGAUCAAGAACGAAAGUUAGAGGAUCGAAGGCGAUCAGAUACCGCCCUAGUUCUAACCCUAAACGAUGCUAACUAGCAAUCCGCCGUCGUUAUUCCCAUGACGUGGCGGGACGCCCCCGGGAAACCUCAAGUCUUUGAGUUCCGGGGGUAGUAUGGUUGCAAAAUUGAAACUUAAAGGAAUUGACGGAAGGGCACCACCAGGAGUGGAGCCUGCGGCUUAAUUUGACUCAACACGGGAAAUCUCACCAGGGCCGGACACCAGAAGGAUUGACAGAUUAAGAGCUCUUUCUUGAUUUGGUGGGUGGUGGUGCAUGGCGUCUAUG
This 1320-nucleotide ribosomal RNA is filed under the name Glyphus marsupialis. RNAcentral's name for it is "SSU rRNA". It matches the Rfam family "Eukaryotic small subunit ribosomal RNA", at positions 24 to 1295 of the family's 1831-position model. Lineage: Eukaryota; Metazoa; Arthropoda; Malacostraca; Decapoda; Pasiphaeidae. The record is from RNAcentral.